UACGUAGGGUGCGAGCGUUGUCCGGAAUUAUUGGGCGUAAAGAGCUUGUAGGCGGUUUGUCGCGUCUGCUGUGAAAUCUCAAGGCUCAACCUUGAGCUUGCAGUGGGUACGGGCAGACUAGAGUGUGGUAGGGGAGACUGGAAUUCCUGGUGUAGCGGUGAAAUGCGCAGAUAUCAGGAGGAACACCGAUGGCGAAGGCAGGUCUCUGGGCCACUACUGACGCUGAGAAGCGAAAGCCAGGGGAGCAAACGGG
RNAcentral lists this ribosomal RNA (253 nucleotides) under uncultured bacterium. RNAcentral's name for it is "partial 16S ribosomal RNA". It matches the Rfam family "Bacterial small subunit ribosomal RNA", at positions 524 to 776 of the family's 1533-position model. The record is from RNAcentral.